This 281-nucleotide ribosomal RNA is filed under the name uncultured Staphylococcus sp. RNAcentral describes it as "partial 16S ribosomal RNA". It matches the Rfam family "Bacterial small subunit ribosomal RNA", at positions 81 to 356 of the family's 1533-position model. The record is from RNAcentral. Lineage: Bacteria; Bacillati; Bacillota; Bacilli; Caryophanales; Staphylococcaceae.
CUCCUUUGACGUUAGCGGCGGACGGGUGAGUAACACGUGGGUAACCUACCUAUAAGACUGGGAUAACUUCGGGAAACCGGAGCUAAUACCGGAUAAUACUUCGAACCGCAUGGUUCGAUAGUGAAAGGUGGUUUUGCUAUCACUUAUAGAUGGACCCGCGCCGUAUUAGCUAGUUGGUAAGGUAACGGCUUACCAAGGCGACGAUACGUAGCCGACCUGAGAGGGUGAUCGGCCACACUGGAACUGAGACACGGUCCAGACUCCUACGGGAGGCAGCAGUG